Molecule: ribosomal RNA, 456 nt
Filed under: uncultured bacterium
Lineage: Bacteria
Description: bacterial SSU rRNA
Rfam family: Bacterial small subunit ribosomal RNA
Source: RNAcentral
GACGAACGCUGGCGGCGUGCCUAACACAUGCAAGUCGAACGAAGCUUUGAGGAGCUUGCUCUUUAAAGCUUAGUGGCGGACGGGUGAGUAACGCGUGAGCAACCUGCCUCUCAGAGGGGGAUAACGUUUUGAAAAGAACGCUAAUACCGCAUAACAUAUCGGAACCGCAUGAUUCUGAUAUCAAAGGAGCAAUCCGCUGAGAGAUGGGCUCGCGUCCGAUUAGUUAGUUGGUGAGGUAACGGCUCACCAAGACUACGAUCGGUAGCCGGACUGAGAGGUUGAUCGGCCACAUUGGGACUGAGACACGGCCCAGACUCCUACGGGAGGCAGCAGUGGGGGAUAUUGCGCAAUGGGGGAAACCCUGACGCAGCAACGCCGCGUGAAGGAAGAAGGUCUUCGGAUUGUAAACUUCUUUUGUCAGGGACGAAGAAAGUGACGGUACCUGACGAAUAAGCU